GUCAUCUAGUAAGUACACUUGUUUCCUGACUUCUGUGAGGCAAGCUAGCAAAGUAAGCAAAUCGGAGGACGGGAGCCUGGGAAGCUCAGAUUUAUAGCCGAUCUGACAGAAGCACAGGUGAAAACCUGGGUUUGCACUUGGUGCCUGACGUAGGGGAGGCAGCUUGUAGGACUAAGCCUGCACCCCUCCGUGUCUGCCACUAUCUCCAGUGUCAGAGUUAAGUUAAAUCGUAGGACAGUCAGCUGGUAUCACAGAAUUGUUUGCAGUAUGGAAAAUCUACACAUUUGGUUUCAGAAGUGAUGUAGUAGAGAAUCAGAAUUAGAGGAGACACAUGGGAGCUGUGUCUUCUCUAAGUUCUUAACACCAGAGUCUUGGAUUAAUUGGUUUCAGGUGAGGCCCAGGUACCCAGAAAAAUCUGAUGCUCAACACAGUUGAGAAGCCGCUUAGAUUGGAUAUCCUGGUUCGGGUCUUAUUCUCCCAGCUCUGUCAUUCCUCCAGGACAAAUCCAAUUAAAAGCUCAUCAUUUCUGCACUUGAGCUCUUCUUUGACCCAGUCUCCACUUCAAGGUAAAGAGAAGCGGACACUAUGUGGAAGAUCACCAAGUAUGUGAGACAGACUUUGGGAAGAGUAACAGAGAAGGAAGGAAAAGACCAAUUUCCUAUUCUCAAGCAAGCAAGCUUUAUUCUUUCAACAAACUUUGAGAUCCUACUAUAUGUUCACAUCAGAAACCUGAGGAAAGCAGAACUUGAUACGGACUCGUACAUACGAAAUCAAGGAUAAAAAUCUGAAUAUGAAACAAAUUUAUGGUUACCAAAGGGGAAAGGUGGGGGAGACAGACAAGUUGGGAGUUUGAGAUUGACAUGUACACAUGACUAUAUUUAAAAUAGAUAACCAGCAAGGAUCUACUGUAUAGCAUGGGAAACUGCUCAAUAUUCUAUAAUAACCUAAAUGGGAAAAAAAUUUGAAAAAGAAUAGAUAUAUGUAUAUGUAAUGACUGAAUUGCUUCGCUGUUCACCUGAAACACAGCACUGUAAAUCAACUACAGUCCAAUAAAAAAAUAAAAAUUAAAAAAAACA
RNAcentral lists this long non-coding RNA (1076 nucleotides) under Bos indicus x Bos taurus (hybrid cattle). RNAcentral describes it as "lncRNA (ENSBIXG00000002254.1)". Lineage: Eukaryota; Metazoa; Chordata; Mammalia; Artiodactyla; Bovidae. The record is from RNAcentral.